AUCUAUACAUAUGAGACAUCCGAUAAAAUUGGAACAAUACAGAGAAUAUUAGCAUGGCCCCUGCAUAAGGAUGACAUGCACAAAUUGAGAAAUGGUCCAAAUUUUU
Non-coding RNA from Picea glauca (white spruce), 106 nucleotides. The record is from Rfam. NCBI's taxonomy places the organism in Eukaryota, Viridiplantae, Streptophyta, Pinopsida, Pinales, Pinaceae.